UGUGGCCGACCAGGGUGGGUGUCUGGAGUAGAUGGGGUGCAGAAAGAAAAAGUGGGGUGCCACUCACAAUAUUCUUCGAUGAAACUCUCAUAGAAUUAUCUUAUCAAUUCUAUAUGGCACCCCAAAUGCUCCCUUAUUUAAAUCCAACACCCCAACUCCCUUAUCCUAUCCAUCUAGGAUUCAAACUCAAGUUUAAAUCAAAUUUAAACUUACAUUGAUGGAUAAGGAUAAGAUAUGAUAGAGAGAGAAUACUAGGGAAGAGGGGCACCCACUCUUGGC
RNAcentral lists this long non-coding RNA (279 nucleotides) under Elaeis guineensis (African oil palm). RNAcentral describes it as "long non-coding RNA (EGUI_LNC067728)". The record is from RNAcentral. Lineage: Eukaryota; Viridiplantae; Streptophyta; Magnoliopsida; Arecales; Arecaceae.